Molecule: ribosomal RNA, 253 nt
Filed under: uncultured bacterium
Lineage: Bacteria
Description: partial 16S ribosomal RNA
Rfam family: Bacterial small subunit ribosomal RNA
Source: RNAcentral
UACAGAGGGUGCGAGCGUUAAUCGGAAAUACUGGGCGUAAAGCGCACGUAGGCGGCGCAGCAAGUCAGGGGUGAAAUCCCGGGGCUCAACCCCGGAACUGCCCUUGAAACUGCGGUGCUAGAAUUCUGGAGAGGCGAGUGGAAUUCCGAGUGUAGAGGUGAAAUUCGUAGAUAUUCGGAAGAACACCAGUGGCGAAGGCGACUCGCUGGACAGACAUUGACGCUGAGGUGCGAAAGCGUGGGGAGCAAACAGG